This 79-nucleotide transfer RNA is filed under the name Boulengerella maculata (spotted pike-characin). RNAcentral describes it as "tRNA-Lys". Lineage: Eukaryota; Metazoa; Chordata; Actinopteri; Characiformes; Ctenoluciidae. The record is from RNAcentral.
CACCAGUGAAGCUAAACACGGGAUAAAUAGCGUUAGCCUUUUAAGCUAAAAAAUGGUGCCCCCCGAACACCCCUGGUGA